Molecule: non-coding RNA, 72 nt
Organism: Diaporthe sp. PMI_573
Lineage: Eukaryota; Fungi; Ascomycota; Sordariomycetes; Diaporthales; Diaporthaceae
Source: the annotation of a GenBank genome assembly
AUCCCUGUAGUACAAUGGUUAGUACGCUCACGAAAGCGAUGAGAGACGGUGGUUUGAUUCCUUCCUGGGGUA